AGCCACCAGGGAAACUCAGUACCAGAGGUCAGACUUUGUUUUCAUGCUGAGCUUUCUUGUGGUCACCAGAUAGAUUCAAAAAGGAGUUGAGGUGUCAUACUUACUCAUUCUCCUCUAAGAGGAGGGGGAUAGGGUUUCACUGUCACGAUUAUUGAAUGGAGUUAUGAACGGACCAUCCUGCACAAGUUCUGUAGCCCAGGGAAUGUCGUACCAAUUUACUUUUGCCUGUGUUGAAGGCUAUCUCUGAACCACUGUCGUGAGAGUCAUGAGAUCCCCCUGAAUGGCUUAAACAUGUCAGGACUCAACGUCCAGAAGGGUCUGGGGUCUCACACACACCCAAAUGAGAAGACUGCGAAACAGUGAAGGAGGGUGGAGUGGUUUUGGAGGUAAAUCAUAAUAUUUUCUACUGAAUUUCAUAAGUAUCACUUAUUAUUAUAUAAUAACUGUGGACAGUAAUUUAAUGACAAUGACAAUAAGGCGUAUUCUGUUUGCUCAGAGAGCGAAUGACCAGCCCUAGCUUUGUUCCUGUAUGCCAGAGAGCACUAAUGUAGAACCUUUGCUGAUUUUUCUACUUGACUUCUGGAUCAUUUAGCAUAUUCUAGGCUUCAGUAUUUGUAUAACAUAGCACGAUCAUUGGGGAUAGUACAUGGGUUUCAGCUGGAAACCGCUCUGCCCCAGAAGCAGUUGCCUCUGUCACUCCAUGUAUUAUAAAUGUGUUUUUUUUAAAGCGUAAAGAUCGGCUCAAUUGUUGUGAUGGUUAUUUGCCUGUUUAUACACAGAACCUCUUCCAGCUCUUCUGUGAUCUGCUCAGGUUGCAGGGGUUCCUCUCCUGUCAUUUGCCUUGAGAGUCGGCUGCCAGCUAAGACCAGUCAGUGGAAAAAGCCAGGCGUUCCACCUGUUUCUCUCCACUCUGUGUAGGGUCUUCAGCGGCAGUUGUGUCUCGCCCGGGUUACUCUGGCUCCCUCCUGUCAGUCCUGGCCUUCUGCCUUGCUCCCCUAGCCCUGUGGUGUGUAGCAGCUUAGCUGCUGUUGCUGAUCUCCUGCUGGCUCCAUUCCCUGUUUGCCUUUUCAAAUCUUCCAACACCAUUGUAACUGGUGCCUCAUAUUCAAUUCUCUCUAUUGAAUUACCUGGGUUGGACUCUGUAUUAAUGCCCUGACCCCGACUAAUAAAAAUCAUUGAACUUCAAAAUACUGAAAUUCUAACUGACUAAUGACAUUUUUCUAGGAAUAAAUCCUAUUGUCUGUAAUGCUAAUGUCAUCUAUUUAUUUUUCCUAAAAAUAUAGAUUUCUUGGUGAAAAAAAGUUUUCUUUGAAACCUGUAAUUCCUAUGAUGAUUUAACUCCUUAACUUGAAAAAGGUAUGAGAUUUAUUAAAACCAAUUAUAAGCACAUUGUUUGAAAAAUACUGUGUUUCAACUCGUUUUGAUCAAACCCCAUUAUUGAGUCCUAUUUGAAAUACAGUUGCAGACAUCUGUGAUAUUGAAGCCUAGUUAUUGAGGUGGGAUGCUGUAUUCUUCUAAUGAAGGUUUGGAUGGUCUAUUGAAACACACUGGUAUUGAACAAAAAGCACUUUGGUAAACUGCACAAAAUACAGAACUUGACAGCCACCUGGAGCCCUUGGAGAAUCGAUCCUUUUUGAUAGCUGGAUUGUUUUUCAGAUGACUGAGAUUUUGCCCAUUUGUCUUCGUGAUGAAUUGUUUGGUCACAAGGAAGAGAAAUUCACUGGGGCUGGGUUAGGCCAAAAUAAGUAAAUAAGUGAAACGAUUGGAAAGACAGUAGGGGACUCAAUGAGAAGGCAGAAACCGCAGCUCAGUUGGUUGCAGAGGGAGUGGAGUUGGAACCUGCGGGCUGUCAGGGUCCUUCCUGUGUCUCACAGUUGGCUUCUCCGGAGGCUCUGCUGCAUCCCUUUCUCCGUGCUCCCAGCCCAGCUGGAGCCAUGUGUCCUUCAGGGCAAACGCACAAGUCCAGGGGUGUGCGCUCCUGGUCCUUUUCCUCCUCAGCAGGAAUGAUGGGAACAGCCGCCUUGGCCAGCAUGUCCACAGCACUGCCUGUGCGCCCAGGUCUUGUUUAAGAAAACACGAGCCCUUUCCUGUGAUGUGAAGUGUGUCUAUAAGGUUUGGAAUGUAACUUAGUCAUUUCUCAGUGUGACGUGGUGGUACUCACUGGCAGCAGUGUCUGCUCUGAUAGCAGAUGACUUUAGACGGCUGUAUGUAUAUGUUUGGUAGAUGUUUUAUGUAAGUGUUAAUUUAUUUUGGAUUUCCUCUUGGCAGAUGUCACUUGUCAUUGUUGAUUGGUAUUUGCAGUUUCUAUUUUGUUACUGCUGGGUUUGUUUGGUCUUAGAAACCAAGUAGCCUUUAUUAUAAUUGCAUGUAAAAUAGAGUUAAUUAAAUUUUAGCGAGAAGGUCUUUCUCCCAGCUGCGAAAACUCAUGGACCUCAGGGCAUGCACGUUUCUACAUCUGACCAGGUGUAAGAAGGGAAAUCAUUUGAUUAAGUAAAUGUGCUUAAUGCAUGUGGAAUCGCUUCCUGGAGGCCCCAGAAUCAUUGCAUUUUGAUGUUAAUUUCCUUAAUUCCAUUGUCAUGGUCUCUGUUUAAUCAAACACAUUAUGUUUGUGGUAGGCAGGGUUGUGGUGCUCAAAGAUGCCCAGUUCUAGUCCCCAGAAUAUGUUACCUUACAUGGCCAAGGAACGCUUCAAAUGGGAUUCAGGCGCUAGAACUUGUGAUGGGGGCAGGUUUUCAAGCUUUUGGCCAUCACAUGAGAAGACUUGGUAUCCAGCAGCUGCAAAUGAAGAGGCUACUUGGAGCAACUGCCCAGAGAGGGAUGUCCACAGAGCCCCAGACAGGCCAGUCUCCAGCUAUUCAAGUGUUCUCAGCCUGGGCACCAGACAUGUGGGUGGAGAAGCUGUUACAACGAUCAGCAUCUGCCUGUGGCCAUGGAAGGAACCCAAGCAAAAGCUUUCCAAGUGGUUCCAGUCAAUUAUUGUUGUUGCUAAGUCGUGUCUGAGUCUUUGCGACCCCAUGGACUGCAACACGCCAGACCUCCCUGUCCCUCACUAUCUCCCAGAGUUUGUUCAAGUUCAUGUCCGUUGAAUUGGUGAUAAUGAUGUCUAUUGAAUCCAGUCAAUACCAGAUCCAUUAAUUACAUAAUUACAGUUUUACUUUAAGCCACUCUUUUGGAAUGAUUUGUGAUAUAAUAAUAGUAACUGGAAAA
This is a long non-coding RNA of Bubalus bubalis (water buffalo), 3207 nucleotides long. RefSeq lists it as uncharacterized. The record is from RefSeq and is a predicted model, not a curated record. The transcript has 2 exons. Lineage: Eukaryota; Metazoa; Chordata; Mammalia; Artiodactyla; Bovidae.